UAGCACUCAGACCUUCUGGUGUCAUUUGC
Molecule: non-coding RNA, 29 nt
Filed under: Mus musculus (house mouse)
Lineage: Eukaryota; Metazoa; Chordata; Mammalia; Rodentia; Muridae
Source: RNAcentral